Dreissena polymorpha is the source of this 630-nucleotide long non-coding RNA. RefSeq lists it as uncharacterized. Lineage: Eukaryota; Metazoa; Mollusca; Bivalvia; Myida; Dreissenidae. The transcript is spliced from 3 exons. The record is from RefSeq and is a predicted model, not a curated record.
CGAUGGUCCACCGUCGCCCAACUAAAAAUAGCAUGUAAAACCAAGUAUGCGCAUGCUCAGUGGCGGGCGCAGUAAAUGGUUAAAGUGAAAGUAGAUGUCGCCGCCAUUUUGAGUGGUUGGUAAACUGUGGUUUGUGUCCAAAUAAUUAGACGACACCAAACGCAAAGCUUAUCCCAAGGCAAUGCCCCAUUUGCGUGGUAAAGGGCAAGACGACUGUGUACCUCCGGGUAACAGACCACGUUCGCUGGGUGCAAGCGCUGAUGGCAGACCCCAUGAAGCCGUUGAUGUCAGAGGCACGUUCUUAGACCGGGCAGAAAGUGAAGAAGACAAAGCCGAGGAAUUACUACUCUUGCUGGCUGUGCGACCGGUCGGUGAUUGACCGGCUGCGUCAUAUAGAACAGGAGCACAAAAUGGAGGCUGGGACAUUCAAUUUUGUUUUCACAAGAGGGCCGUUUCCGGAAAGUCGCGAAAACUUCAGAAAAGGUGACCAGCAGACUCGCCACUCAUGAUGACUCGGCAUAGGAGGAUGAGAAGGUGGAGGAUGAGGAGGAGGAGGAAGAGGACUUUUCAUUCGUAACGCGGAAAUACUGCCUGAGCCUGGAACCCAAUGCAAGGGUGAUGCAUGGUCGG